AUUCGAAAACCUUCUCGGCUUUCGUCUCCUCGGCAUGGAAGUCGACUUGGAGAUCCGCGAAGCCCGAAGCUCUUCGGGAGGAAGCAAUCCGUCUACAGGAAUCUUGUGAGAUCCGCGGGUAACCGUACAAGAGACAGCAGUACUACAUGAAGAAUUCCCUUCACUCUCUCGUACCCAAGCGGAAGCUCUACCUCCGCGGUACAAUGUGGCUGUCCUGCCUUUCCUUAUAAGUUAAUACAGUUUAGGAUAUUGAAUAAGAGAGAGAAUGCAUCAUUGUCUAAACAAUUUACAAUCAUACGAAACUCAAGCACACUGUUCUUGAUGGAUACUGUAAGGAGUUAAAUUUUAGUCGACAGCACCAUUCCUGGUGCAAGCCAUAUUGACAAAUAUAUCUUUGCUUGGAUUGAACUUCUGUUUUGCCAUUUUAUUUGAAGUUCCUCUAGCAAACUCUCAUAAUUUUGUGCAGCCUGAUGAUCAUAUUUUAUCAGACGAUGAUA
This is a long non-coding RNA of Musa acuminata AAA Group (dessert banana), 497 nucleotides long. RefSeq lists it as uncharacterized. The transcript has 4 exons. Lineage: Eukaryota; Viridiplantae; Streptophyta; Magnoliopsida; Zingiberales; Musaceae. The record is from RefSeq and is a predicted model, not a curated record.